RNAcentral lists this ribosomal RNA (290 nucleotides) under uncultured Hymenobacter sp. RNAcentral describes it as "partial 16S ribosomal RNA". It matches the Rfam family "Bacterial small subunit ribosomal RNA", at positions 117 to 407 of the family's 1533-position model. The record is from RNAcentral. Lineage: Bacteria; Pseudomonadati; Bacteroidota; Cytophagia; Cytophagales; Hymenobacteraceae.
GUAACUAACCUACCUAUAACUGGGGGAUAGCCCGCCGAAAGGCGGAUUAAUACCGCAUAAGCCAUGGACCCGGCAUCGGGAUUUUGGUAAAGAUUUAUUGGUUAUAGAUGGGGUUGCGGGUCAUUAGCUAGUUGGUAAGGUAACGGCUUACCAAGGCGACGAUGACUAGGGGAGCUGAGAGGCUGGUCCCCCACACGGGCACUGAGAUACGGGCCCGACUCCUACGGGAGGCAGCAGUAGGGAAUAUUGGGCAACGGGCGAGAGCCUGACCCAGCCAUGCCGCGUGCAGG